This 589-nucleotide ribosomal RNA is filed under the name uncultured bacterium. RNAcentral describes it as "bacterial SSU rRNA". It matches the Rfam family "Bacterial small subunit ribosomal RNA", at positions 895 to 1482 of the family's 1533-position model. The record is from RNAcentral.
UAAAACUCAAAGGAAUUGACGGGGGCCCGCACAAGCGGCGGAGCAUGCGGAUUAAUUCGAUGCAACGCGAAGAACCUUACCAAGGCUUGACAUAGCCGAGAACGCUGUAGAGAUACAGAACUCUUUGGACACUCGGUUACAGGUGGUGCAUGGUUGUCGUCAGCUCGUGUCGUGAGAUGUUCGGUUAAGUCCGGCAACGAGCGCAACCCUCGUCCUAUGUUGCCAGCACGUUAUGGUGGGAACUCAUGGGAUACUGCCGUGGUCAACACGGAGGAAGGUGGGGAUGACGUCAAGUCAUCAUGCCCCUUAUGUCUUGGGCUUCACGCAUGCUACAAUGGCCGAUACAAAGGGCUGCGAUACCGCGAGGUGGAGCGAAUCCCAAAAAGUCGGUCUCAGUUCGGAUUGGGGUCUGCAACUCGACCCCAUGAAGUCGGAGUCGCUAGUAAUCGCAGAUCAGCAACGCUGCGGUGAAUACGUUCCCGGGCCUUGUACACACCGCCCGUCAAGUCAUGAAAGUCGGUAACACCCGAAGCCGGUGGCCUAACCCUUGUGGAGGGAGCCGUCGAAGGUGGGACUGGUGAUUAGGACU